This 73-nucleotide transfer RNA is filed under the name Camelus bactrianus (Bactrian camel). It matches the Rfam family "tRNA". Rfam says of the family: Transfer RNA (tRNA) molecules are approximately 80 nucleotides in length. RNAcentral also lists the same sequence under 2 other names. The record is from Rfam by way of RNAcentral. Lineage: Eukaryota; Metazoa; Chordata; Mammalia; Artiodactyla; Camelidae.
GAGGGUGUAGCUCAAGUGGUAGAACACAUGCUUAGCAUGCAUGAGGUCCUGGGUUCAAGGCCCAGUACCUCCA